This is a long non-coding RNA of Hibiscus syriacus, 196 nucleotides long. RefSeq lists it as uncharacterized. The record is from RefSeq and is a predicted model, not a curated record. The transcript has 3 exons. Lineage: Eukaryota; Viridiplantae; Streptophyta; Magnoliopsida; Malvales; Malvaceae.
GCUCUAUCUUUCUGAGAGUUGUAGGCCACAGUCCGUUUCCAUGAAAAAGUACCCAUUUCCACUGUAGCAACUUAUUGAUUUAGAAGAACAGUCAUAGAUCUGCAAGUCAAAAACCUUUGGAAACACCCUAGGUAAGUCGACACUUCAAGGGGAUACCCUUCAUAUUAUACAUUUGCAACUGAGAUGGAUACCUCGA